Molecule: long non-coding RNA, 588 nt
Organism: Manduca sexta (tobacco hornworm)
Lineage: Eukaryota; Metazoa; Arthropoda; Insecta; Lepidoptera; Sphingidae
Exons: 2
Source: RefSeq, a predicted model, not a curated record
UUUGUUUUGGGAUGCAAUUUCUAACAAUAAACUUAUAUCAAUAGCUAUAAACAUUACUACGUAUUGUAUUUGGAAGUGAAUUAUUAAAGUAAAAACGGGCAAAAUAAUGAACAGUACAAGUGCCAUUAUCAGCGGAUAAGGCGGCGGCCGUUAUCUCACUGAUAACGACAGAUCUUCGUGAACUCAUUCUUUGAACAUUCCUUCUAUUCAAUGUUAUUGAAGUAUUGAGGACUAACAUUUUUAGAAUAGUAGAACAUGAAUAAAUAUGUGUGAGUGUCACGGAAACCCAAAACUUGAUACAUAAUUUAUGAUAUUAUGCCUAUAACGCCGAUAUCACACGGUGGCGAAGAACGACAUCAAUGUAAAAUAAUACAUAUAUUUUUAACCAGUUGGUUAAUAGAUAUACACGUAGACAAGUGAUGAGUAAAGAUUCCGUCCUUAAGAUAUUUUUAUAGUCGUUUAAGAAGUCAAAUGAGAAUUAACAAUAACGUACGUAGAACCGGAGUAAUGGCGGUCAAUAUGAGGAAUAGUUUAAGGAUACUCUGGACGACGGUUGCUGCGUUCGUGUUCCUGACGCGGAGCAGCGCC